Molecule: long non-coding RNA, 4847 nt
Organism: Motacilla alba alba
Lineage: Eukaryota; Metazoa; Chordata; Aves; Passeriformes; Motacillidae
Exons: 5
Source: RefSeq, a predicted model, not a curated record
ACCACACUGACUUAACACUGUGACCUCUGCUCUGCUGGCUGCUCCCACGGCCUGGGAGGGCUUCUCUCCUUCCCUGUUUUCCAUCCCCAGUACAAACAGGCACAGAGACACAGAAUCCUCCCCAAAGCUGGAAAAAGCCCCAGGUGAGAAGUCAAACACACAGCACGUGUUGGCACUCAGGAAGAAGCCUACAGUCCUGCUUCCCCCUCCUGCUGCCUGUGCUGCUGAGGAUGGAUCCCAGGACAUGGGGAAUUUCCUGGGCUAGUGUUCCUCAGUAUUUGUGCAAGGCUUUGAAGCACUGCAUGACAUGGAGACUGUCAUUGAUUAGUCCUCGCUGAAAGUGACAGGAUUUGAGCCUCUGAUCUGGACAUUCUGACCACUGGGAAAGGCUUAAUCUUCUACUGGUAAAUCCUUCCUUGAGCAGAAAUUAAUUAUAUCCUGGAAAUGUCCAUUUCUCUCCACUGUGCAAUGGCCAUCCAAGCCCAGACACAUCCUAAAACAUCACAGACAUGAAGAGUUUGAUGAGAUGAAUCACAGCCCAGAGAUCAGAAGGAUGAGUUACUAGAGCAACCCUCACCCAACUUAUCUCUGUAUUGAUAAAUCAAUACUUAUUUACUAAUCCAGUUACUAAUAAUAGACUAUAUUUUAAUGUCAACAUACUAAUCCUAUUUUAUACUUAAAUGUAGUGUAUUAUUAGUGACAUUUAUAUUUUUGCUGCAAUUUGUAAUGCUAAUUAUCAAUAUUUAUUAAUUUAGGAAGUAUUUACUACUUAAAUAAUACAAAUUUUUUUUGUGGGAACAGCCCCUUGGUCUUGUAAAUUUCUCAACUCCUAAAAUGUCAUGUUCCAGGGAAAUGUAUUACUAUCUGUUUUACAAUAUUCUGAGAUCAUAGAUUAAUUGCCCAAUAUCAGAGCUAUCCACAGCAAGAGACACAACUUUGGUAAAAGGCCCAACACUUGGGAUUGAGGGAUAAUGAAAUCAAGGUUGCAGUCUGUUUAACAGUGCUGGGAUCCAUCAUUCCAAAUAGGAAAGCCAGGAUGCAUAAACUUCACAGAGGUAAAGGGAAAAGAACAAACUAUUUCACCUGGCAUUGCCCAGAGAAAUAGCGCUUGGAAAAUGCACACUACUGAUGUGAGACUAAGAGCUCUCUUAAAUUAAUAUCAACCAGCAUCAGGACAAUUUAAAAUAAAUUAAUAAAAUAGUUUGACUGUCAUCAGAAUAUGGGGGAAACUCGUCCAGAUAAAAUAUUAGAUUCUGAUCUACAAGGUGCCACGAUUGUCAAACAUCCUCAAUUCCAGAGUUCAAGAUUCCUUGAAUAUAUACAAAAUACUCAAGAAUCAAAAAAUAUGUGUGUUGUACAUGGCCAUCUGUUAUAUCAUAAACAUUAACUCUCCUCACUCUGUUGAAAGAAGUAAAAACAGAUUAAAGUAAUUGGAAAGACAUUUUUCAUAAAUUGAACGCUGGCACACUGAGUGUAAUCAAGACAAAUUCUCUGCUCAGAGUAGCUCUCCCUGUUCUGCCCACUGAUUGCCCUGAGCAGAGAGGAAACCUUACGAGAUAUCCAAGUGGUAAUUGGCAAAUUUAUCUGGAGUGAAAAAUGCUCUGGAGCUCAGAGGAGAGAUCAACCCCCAGCCCUUCCCUCCUGACUCUUCCCAGUCCUCCCAGGAACACCCAGGUGGGAACAAGCAGGAAUCAAUGCUGCCUGCCCGGGUGGGAGCAAAGUCCCAUCGAUUCUCUGUGGGGUCAAGAAAAGUUGAGGGAGUUCAACAUCCCUUGGAAUCAACACCUCCAAAUGAGGGAUAAAGACCUCUUUUUCAGCCAGCACUGAUGCUGUACCUAUUUUCAGCCCCAUUUUCUUGAUUUGCUCAAGUUAUUGCUGCAAUUAAGGGCACGAAUUGGGGAACUGCAGACAAAGGAAAAGCAGCUUCAAGAUUGCCAUUGUAUUUGUAUUUACCAUUAAGAGUGACUCAUCUGAAGGAUGGGCAAGAGUAAAUAAACAGAGCUAAAUAAAGAAAAAUCUGCAGUUCACCUGAGGCUUCCAAGGUGUAAUGAGGUUGUUGAUAUUUGGUAUUUUCAAGGUAAGUUAGGGCUUGUAAUGGAAAAUAUUAUUAAUAGGGCUUGCUCCUUUUCAUAUCCAAAAAGAAUUAACAAGUUUGGAUUACUUCUGCAGAGGAAAAGCAAAGGUGGGAGUGUCAAGCAGAAAUGAAAACUUUGAACUGGGACAGUCCUGGAAAUCUCAGGCUGCAGAGCAUUUUCUGAGGAAGGUUUCAAUUAACAGAGACAUUGACAGGAAUCAAGGCCAAGCACUUGAGAUGUAAGAUGACAAAUUCAUGCCACAAGCUGUAGUUCUGUCAGAGCUUUGCUUAAUGCCCCUGUCCCUUCACCAUGCUGUGAAUGACUAGAGAAAUUAAUUGAUUUUCUCCACCAGAAUAAAACCUUAACGACCUACAGGCAGUGGAGAAAGGUCUGUGGUGCAGACCCAGGACACCUGGCUGAAAAGAUCAUUUUCCUUUGUUUAGGGACUGCUGGAAAGAAACUUGGCCAUGGCAUCUCUGAUUAAUACAAAAACUGUUCACUCUUGAAAGAAGCAAGAGUCCACGUUCAGAUCUCCAUUUUUGGACACACAGAAAUCUAUAAAUACAGAGGUAAUUGUGGAUACACAGCAUGAAAUAGCUUUCAGCUCAAAGUGAACCCUACCAGUGCAUUCCUUCCGCUGGCCCUGCUUCCAUAACUUCUGUGGAUAACAGCAAAGAAACUUGAUGUGGGCUUGGAAAAUGUCUUGGGGGGAACCAGUUGUUCAGUUCCAACAUUCUGCCCUGAAGGCACUGAAAUAAUGUCAGAAAUAACUGAUUUUGCUGACAAAAAUAAAGUAGGCGCCAAAACAUACCAGUAGAGCAGUAAAAUGCAAAUGUUGGGGACAGAGCUGAAGAGAAAACUAAACAUAAUUCACUCUAAAUUAUUUCUGUUAUAAAUAAUAAUUGUUAAUUGUUUCAGUCAGCAUCAAGAAUAAUUUGUUUAGUUGCUCAUUAUACUUUUUUUUUUUUUUAAUUAUAGGAACAGAGACACAAAUAUAACAUGGCAGAUGUGCUCUUAAAACUCUGUGUUUAGGUAAGAGUUUCUUCACUGACCCUGAAUUAAGGUUUCUAAAAGUAAGAAAUAGCUUUUUCCCACUAAACUCUGCUAUUAAAUGGGGAAACUUGGAUGACUGUACAAGGUUUGUACAAAUAAAUUGUCUGUUUGUUUUGCUGGUGGAAGAACAUGAUCCAGACUUAGAAGCAGGGUGGCCCCUUGUAAAGGAGGAACCUGGGCUCCAGGGUGUCCUUCAGACCUCUGAGCUCUGUUACAAGUUGACAAGACCAUUUGAGAAAGGCACUGUGAUGGUCAAUCUUUGUCAUACCUCUCUUGGAGGCCAUACAGAAUUACCAUCCCACCUCUCAGUGGGUUUAAGGUUACCUCAGGAGCAUUUCUGAUCCUGAAAUGAAUCAUGUGUGUCUUGGACAUGGUGGCUUUACCAGUUGUUGGUUUCUCUGGGUUUGGACUGAAGGCACUUGAGAUAGUAGUUCAUGUUUGGACUAAAAUGUUUAUUAUUUCUUAUCAAUGAAACAGUCUCACUACUGUGAGUUCGGCAGCUUUUCAUUAGAAGGCACAAAAUGGCCAACAAUCUCUUUUUAAAGGCCUUUUAAGAAUAAACUAUCUAAUUUAGAACUGACACCUAGAUUAUUUCCCCUUUUAACCCAGUAAAUGAUCCCUAAAAGCCCACAAUGCAGACUGUUCUGCCCAAUUACAAAAUACCACCCAAACCUAGGAAGAAGAAGGAUGAAGAAUAAACCCAGGAUGACGCCCUGUGCCCUCCAUCUUGCUUCCAUCCACAACAUACUAAAAAUCCCAAAACCUAAAUUUCUCACCAAGUGUUACACCUACACCACUUUAUAAUCUAUUUCACACUUUAGUGGAUUCUAGUCUAUCUUGAAGUUUAGGAAACUUUCUCCAUGAAUGAGGGUGAAAGUGAGUGUUCCUCUGGGGAUCAGGACACGCCAGAGCAGACAGAGAAAUAUUCCCUGGGUUUACACAGACACCACCAUCAUUCCAGCUGUGGAGGUGCUGCUUUCUUUCACAGGGCUCUCAAGGCAUUUAUUUGGGCUUAGGUGGAACUUCUGUAGCUUUGAGAAAGCUGCUGGUUGCUCUGCCUGUGGUGCCUCCAGAUGUCCAAAAACAAAUGUGGAAGCUGCUGUGGGUAGGGGUGUCCAUUUCUGCAUCAACAGAGAUGAAGUUGCACCUUCACUGCCAGGUGAGGGCUUGAAUUCACAGAGCUGAGGCUGAGCUCUCAAUCCAUUGCAGUGCUUAGGUGUUGAUUUACUCUUUGGCUUAAGUCAAAGAAAUAGGAAUGUGAGAAAUAGUAAAGGUAAAAAGAUUUCCAGAAAGCUGUAAAAGCAGGCCUAAGAAACAGAAAGAACAAGAGAAGUAGCUGCAGCUGCAAAGUCUGAAAGUAGAGAAAGUUACAAUGGUAUAGCAAGCAAGGAGAUUACACAGUAGCUUGAAUUCUAGGCUUGGCUAAGGUAGACCUUAAGACUGCAGGAAAAUAUGCUUAGCAAGAUAGCAGAAAGUUUUAAGCUUAAUAAUGGUGUAUUAUGUAUUGUCAAAGAAAGAAGACAAGCAAGAGUUGUGUGAAACAGGUGUACCUGUACUAAUUGCCUAAAACAAUUGUCUGUAAGCUUUAGCAAUAUGCUAUUGGCUAGAAAGUUUUUAAAACGUUUUGUAACAAAGAAAUCUUUGGCUGCUGCUGUAUGUGAACUUUGCCAUCUUCCUCUUGUCUCAACCAUGUAAUGAGGCUGAUGCUGCAAAUAAAGC